GUUAGGGUGGAGAGUCAGGUGUUAGGGUGGAGGGUCAGGUGUUAGGGUGGAGAGUCAGGUGUUAGGGUGGAGGGUCAGGUGUUAGGGUGGAGAGUCAGGUGUUAGGGUGGAGAGUCAGGUGUUAGGAUGGAGAGUCAGGUGUUAGGGUGGAGGGUCAGGUGUUAGGGUGGAGAGUCAGGUGUUAGGGUGGAGAGUCAGGUGUUAGGGUGGAGAGUCAGGUGUUAGGGUGGAGAGUCAGGUGUUAGGGUGGAGGGUCAGGUGUUAGGGUGGAGAGUCAGGUGUUAGGGUGGAGAGUCAGGUGUUAUGGCCCGUCCACACGGCGGCGUGCGUUGAAGCUUCAACGCUUCUGCCCGUUCACUUUGAAUGGGGUGACGUCACGCU
Molecule: long non-coding RNA, 381 nt
Organism: Trematomus bernacchii (emerald rockcod)
Lineage: Eukaryota; Metazoa; Chordata; Actinopteri; Perciformes; Nototheniidae
Exons: 3
Source: RefSeq, a predicted model, not a curated record